UACGUAGGGUGCAAGCGUUGUCCGGAAUUAUUGGGCGUAAAGCGCGUGUAGGCGGCUUUGCAAGUCGGGUGUGAAAGCCCUCAGCUCAACUGAGGAAGUGCGCCCGAAACUGCAGAGCUUGAGUGCCGGGAGAGGGUGGCGGAAUUCCCCAAGUAGAGGUGAAAUUCGUAGAUAUGGGGAGGAACACCGGUGGCGAAGGCGGCCACCUGGACGGUAACUGACGCUGAGACGCGAAAGCGUGGGGAGCAAACAGG
Molecule: ribosomal RNA, 254 nt
Filed under: uncultured bacterium
Lineage: Bacteria
Description: partial 16S ribosomal RNA
Rfam family: Bacterial small subunit ribosomal RNA
Source: RNAcentral